CCGACGUGGUCGCGUCGCUCGUGGGGCCCGAGGGGCGAAGAAGAGGAAGCGGGGAAAGGAAACUGAGGGAGGGUGAAGAUCGCAUCCCCCGCAGCGGGACCCACAGGGUGCCAGGAUGUCGGGUUUAGAGAAUCAUUUCGGCAUUUUGUUCAUAAUCGCCAAGUUCCUACCCAAGAAGCCCGAUCCCAGCUCAGCCUCUGACCCCAAAGCAGGGGUUCUUCACCCGAGGUCUCUGGAAAGAUCCGAGGGCUCCGGGAUCUUGGAUGGGAGAAAAUGUACGUCCUUAUUUUCACUAACCUGUCGUUGAAGGAAAUGCAAAAUUUCAAUUAUGAAUGUAGGCAAUAUUAAUAUUUUUGACAACUGUAUUUUAAUGCAAUUGUAAUCUUACAUAUUUCAUUUUACGUACCUAAAUACAUUAUCAUGAGAAAGGGUCCGUAGGUUUCGCCAGACUGCCAAAGGGCCUCAUGGCAUAAAAAGGUGAAGAACCCCUGUACCAAACUUACUAAGCUUACAAAGGGACGAGACCAAGGAGGAGACCAAGGGCGACCGAAGUGCCGUGGCAGGUGGCACCAGCACCUCGCUGCUCCUUGGUUAUGGGUUCAAAUCCCACCCAGCUGUCCUGGUUUUUUUGCGCUUGUGACACUAAUUUAUCUACAGCGCGUAUGUGUGUUACGCUGCUCCGUUGUAUAGAUGGGAAAAUGACAGUAAGGAGUUCGGCGCAGUGUCCGUACCGCUGUAAGUCAGCUUGGUUAAAGUGAGCCCAGCAGGGGCUCGGCACAAUGACCUCUGUUCGCCCCUCGCCGGCCGCCUCGCUUGCACGCCCUACGGGUCAGUGGCACACAGGGGCUGUCGCUCUUCCGCCUCGAAACGUUCGCCAGUCCAGCUGGCAGCGCGGCAGCUCUGCUCCUCUCUGAGCUGUAGUAUCAAACAGCCCCUGCCAGUAUUAAGAGAAAUAAAGAGAAUUUUUAUUUGUGUGCUUUGAUUUAC
This 987-nucleotide long non-coding RNA is filed under the name Scleropages formosus (Asian bonytongue). RNAcentral's name for it is "lncRNA (ENSSFOG00015030059.1)". Lineage: Eukaryota; Metazoa; Chordata; Actinopteri; Osteoglossiformes; Osteoglossidae. The record is from RNAcentral.